CAAAAAGCCGAUCGUAGUCCGGAUUGGAGUCUGCAACUCGACUCCAUGAAGUCGGAAUCGCUAGUAAUCGCGGAUCAGAAUGCCGCGGUGAAUACGUUCCCGGGCCUUGUACACACCGCCCGUCACACCAUGGGAGUUUGUUGCACCAGAAGUAGCUAGCCUAACUGCAAAGAGGGCGGUUACCACGGUGUGGCCGAUGACUGGGGUGAAGUCGUAACAAGGUAGCCGUAGGGGAACCUGCGGCUGGAUCACCUCCUUA
Molecule: ribosomal RNA, 259 nt
Filed under: Acinetobacter baumannii
Lineage: Bacteria; Pseudomonadati; Pseudomonadota; Gammaproteobacteria; Moraxellales; Moraxellaceae
Description: partial 16S ribosomal RNA
Rfam family: Bacterial small subunit ribosomal RNA
Source: RNAcentral